CCUACGGGAGGCAGCAGUGAGGAAUAUUGGUCAAUGGACGAGAGUCUGAACCAGCCAAGUAGCGUGAAGGAUGACUGCCCUAUGGGUUGUAAACUUCUUUUAUAUGGGAAUAAAACAGGGUAUGCAUACCCUCUUGUAUGUACCAUAUGAAUAAGGAUCGGCUAACUCCGUGCCAGCAGCCGCGGUAAUACGGAGGAUCCGAGCGUUAUCCGGAUUUAUUGGGUUUAAAGGGAGCGUAGGUGGAUUGUUAAGUCAGUUGUGAAAGUUUGCGGCUCAACCGUAAAAUUGCAGUUGAAACUGGCAGGCUUGAGUACAGUAGAGGUGGGCGGAAUUCGUGGUGUAGCGGUGAAAUGCUUAGAGAUCACGAAGAACUCCGAUUGCGAAGGCAGCUCACUGGACUGCAACUGACACUGAUGCUCGAAAGUGUGGGUAUCAAACAGGAUUAGAUACCCCUGUAGUC
This 460-nucleotide ribosomal RNA is filed under the name uncultured bacterium. Its description in RNAcentral is "partial 16S ribosomal RNA". It matches the Rfam family "Bacterial small subunit ribosomal RNA", at positions 338 to 795 of the family's 1533-position model. The record is from RNAcentral.